RNAcentral lists this ribosomal RNA (253 nucleotides) under uncultured bacterium. Its description in RNAcentral is "partial 16S ribosomal RNA". It matches the Rfam family "Bacterial small subunit ribosomal RNA", at positions 524 to 776 of the family's 1533-position model. The record is from RNAcentral.
UACGUAGGGGACAAGCGUUGUCCGGAAUCAUUGGGCGUAAAGCGCGUGUAGGCGGCUCGAUAAGUCUGCUGUGAAAGUUCAGGGCUCAACCCUGAAAUGCCGGUGGAAACUGUCGAGCUAGAGUCCGGAAGAGGCGAGUGGAAUUCCUGGUGUAGCGGUGAAAUGCGCAGAUAUCAGGAGGAACACCAAUGGCGAAGGCAGCUCGCUGGGACGGUACUGACGCUGAGACGCGAAAGCGUGGGGAGCAAACAGG